This 414-nucleotide ribosomal RNA is filed under the name uncultured microorganism. RNAcentral describes it as "bacterial SSU rRNA". It matches the Rfam family "Archaeal small subunit ribosomal RNA", at positions 459 to 872 of the family's 1478-position model. The record is from RNAcentral.
CAGCAGCCGCGGUAAUUCCGGCGGCCCGAGUGGCGGCCACUAUUAUUGGGCUUAAAGCGUCCGUAGCCGGGUUGGUUAGUCUCCCGGGAAAUCUGGCCGCUUAACGGUCAGAAUUCCGGGAGAUACUGCCAGCCUAGGGACCGGGAGAGGCCGAGGGUAUUCCCGGAGUAGGGGUGAAAUCCUAUAAUCCCGGGAGGACCACCUGUGGCGAAGGCGCUCGGCUGGAACGCGUCCGACGGUGAGGGACGAAGGCCAGGGGAGCAAACCGGAUUAGAUACCCGGGUAGUCCUGGCUGUAAACGAUGCGGACUUUGUGUCGGACAAGCUAUGAGCUUGUCCGGUGCCGGAGGGAAACCGUUAAGUCCGCCGCCUGGGGAGUACGGCCGCAAGGCUGAAACUUAAAGGAAUUGGCGGG